CAGUGGGGAAUUUUGCGCAAUGGGGGAAACCCUGACGCAGCAACGCCGCGUGAGUGAUGAAGGCCUUCGGGUCGUAAAGCUCUGUCAGAGGGGAAGAAAUGCAGGGGUGCUAAUAUCAUCUUUGCUUGACGGUACCCUCAAAGGAAGCACCGGCUAACUCCGUGCCAGCAGCCGCGGUAAUACGGAGGGUGCGAGCGUUGUUCGGAAUUAUCGGGCGUAAAGCGCGUGUAGGCGGUUUGGUAAGUCUGAUGUGAAAGCCCCGGGCUCAACCUGGGAAGUGCAUUGGAAACUGUCAGACUUGAAUACGGGAGAGGGUAGUGGAAUUCCUAGUGUAGGAGUGAAAUCCGUAGAUAUUAGGAGGAACACCGGUGGCGAAGGCGGCUACCUGGACCGAUAUUGACGCUGAGACGCGAAAGCGUGGGGAGCAAACAG
This 432-nucleotide ribosomal RNA is filed under the name uncultured bacterium. Its description in RNAcentral is "bacterial SSU rRNA". It matches the Rfam family "Bacterial small subunit ribosomal RNA", at positions 352 to 775 of the family's 1533-position model. The record is from RNAcentral.